RNAcentral lists this ribosomal RNA (435 nucleotides) under uncultured bacterium. RNAcentral's name for it is "bacterial SSU rRNA". It matches the Rfam family "Bacterial small subunit ribosomal RNA", at positions 29 to 506 of the family's 1533-position model. The record is from RNAcentral.
AGCGAACGCUGGCGGCAGGCUUAACACAUGCAAGUCGAACGGGCGUAGCAAUACGUCAGUGGCAGACGGGUGAGUAACGCGUGGGAACGUACCUUUUGGUUCGGAACAACCCAGGGAAACUUGGGCUAAUACCGGAUAAGCCCUUACGGGGAAAGAUUUAUCGCCGAAAGAUCGGCCCGCGUCUGAUUAGCUAGUUGGUGUGGUAACGGCGCACCAAGGCGACGAUCAGUAGCUGGUCUGAGAGGAUGAUCAGCCACAUUGGGACUGAGACACGGCCCAAAACUCCUACGGGAGGCAGCAGUGGGGAAUAUUGGACAAUGGGCGCAAGCCUGAUCCAGCCAUGCCGCGUGAGUGAUGAAGGCCCUAGGGUUGUAAAGCUCUUUUGUGCGGGAAGAUAAUGACGGUACCGCAAGAAUAAGCCCCGGCUAACUUCGU